This 435-nucleotide ribosomal RNA is filed under the name uncultured bacterium. Its description in RNAcentral is "partial 16S ribosomal RNA". It matches the Rfam family "Bacterial small subunit ribosomal RNA", at positions 28 to 507 of the family's 1533-position model. The record is from RNAcentral.
GAUGAGCGCUGGCGGUAUGCUUAACACAUGCAAGUCGAACGGACUCUUCGGAGUUAGUGGCGGACGGGUGAGUAACGCGUGAGAAUCUGGCUUUGGGUUCGGGACAACCACUGGAAACGGUGGCUAAUACCGGAUGUGCCGAGAGGUAAAAGAGAAAUUGCCUGAAGAUGAGCUCGCGUCUGAUUAGCUAGUUGGUGAGGUAAAGGCUCACCAAGGCAGCGAUCAGUAGCUGGUCUGAGAGGAUGACCAGCCACACUGGGACUGAGACACGGCCCAGACUCCUACGGGAGGCAGCAGUGGGGAAUUUUCCGCAAUGGGCGAAAGCCUGACGGAGCAGUACCGCGUGAGGGAAGAAGGCUCUUGGGUUGUAAACCUCUUUUCUUAGGGAAGAACAAAAUGACGGUACCUAAGGAAUCAGCAUCGGCUAACUCCGUG